Molecule: non-coding RNA, 21 nt
Filed under: Caenorhabditis elegans
Lineage: Eukaryota; Metazoa; Nematoda; Chromadorea; Rhabditida; Rhabditidae
Source: RNAcentral
UGCCAAAACACCACUGAAUCC